AGGGAUUCUCUUCAGCCGAUCAAUUAUGUGUCUCCAGUGCUUUUUGUCUCGUCCGUAAAAUGAAGAACCCAAAACUUUAAGAGCUAAAGGGAGUCCACCAGCAUGCUCCACCACUUGUCUUGAAAGUUCCAUAAAAUCUUCUUUUGGUGAUUUUUCUCUAAAAGCAUGCCUACUGAACAAUUCAAGUGCUUCAUCCUCAGAUAAUAGUUGGACUUCAUACACGUUAUCCCCAACGUGACUUAUUAACAAGUGCUUGUCUCUUGCUGUUAAAAUAAUUCUGCUACCCCUACCAAACCAUUCUGGCUCUCCAACCAAAAAUUCCAACUGUUCUUGAUGGUUUACAUCAUCGAUGGUGAACAGAACUUUCUUCCAGCGAAGCAUAUUCUUUAAAAUAUUCAUCCCUUCAUGCUCACUAGUUAGAGUCAAUUUUUCACCCAAGAGCUUGCAAAUGACGACUUGUUGUAGCCAUGUUAGUCCCUUUUUCUGAUGAAGUUUUCCAACAUCACCAAGAAAACAAUCAGCUUCAAAUUGAUGGCGGUAUCUUUGAUGUAGAACAUUUGCAAUUUCUGUUUUGCCGAUGCCGCCCAUACCCCAAAUACCAAUAGAGCGAACAUCAUUUGAUUCCAUAUCUAAUAAUGAGGUUACUUUAUCAACCUGAGAUUUCAUACCCACUAAGUUUUCCGGGAAAGGUGAAAUAAUUUGAAGUGACUUAGGAAAUAUGUCAUCAACUAGUUUCUUGACGCACUCAGCCUCAUCCCUACAUUACAGUGGAAAAUAAACUCAAAGUAAAUAAAUAGAAAAGCAAAGACUUGUCAUAGACUAAUAUCUAAAACAAACACAUAAUAAUGUCAAUUAUGAAUUAUUACAUUUUUAAAUCUAAUUACAUCAUCAAACAAUCAUAUACGUCUCUGUUUUCCUUUUUCGGUAAAAGUAUAGCUGAUGAUUGUGUGGAAUUGUAGCUAAAAGUUUGGUCCUUUUCGCUCUUGAUAAAGAGAAACCGGAAAAAAAGAAGAAAGCUUACUUGAAAUUAAGUAAAUGAUAGCCUGAUAUUUUCCCUGCCUCCACAAAUGCACCCCUCCAUCUCUGAACCUUCUCCAUAUCAUCUUUGCAUUUUUCCUCAUGUUGUAAAAAUGAAUCAGCAAAAGGGGGAUGUUGAUGGCACACAUCUGAUUGACUCACAUCAUAGAAGACUGGAAUCACAAUCUGCUCCAAUUCCUUUUUACACUUUAUGAUGUGUGCAAGCUCCUUUAAGCACCAUCUUGACGAUGCAUAGCUUUUGGAAAAUAUCACUAUAGCAAAUUUAGACUCUUGUAUGGCUUUCAAAAGUUCAUCAGAAAUUGAUUUUCCCGUUUCUAGUCGCUCAUCAUCUUUAAAAGUGCGGAUUCCUCUUAGUUCCAAAGAAUUAUAGAGAUGACUCACAAAGUUUCUACGUGUAUCUUCACCUCUAAAACUCAAAAAGACAUCGUACUUGCAAAUUUUGGAAGAUGAAGCAUGAGACAUUGUUGAAGAAUAUUGCUAAAGACUAACAGGCAAGUUCUCAGCACAACUGGCAAAUUUAUUUCUCAGCCAUAAUUUGGUGUAUGGGGAUACUUCCAUUCAUCUUCCUAUCUGUUACUAUAUAGAAUUAAAACAACCUGGUCAACAAGAAAGAAAAGACAAAGCUUAAUAUUAAAGAAUAAGGUUUCACCUACUUCACUAUUCCUAGGGAACUUCUUGUCAUCUUCCUAAUCCAUGAUUGUGAGAAAUUAAAGAGUAUAAAAAGACGCAACUUGGGCCGCCUUAGACCAAAAAAGGGAAGAAAAAACUUGUUAUCAUCUUCCUAAUUCAUUUGUACUACUUUUAAAAUAUUUUAUUGUAAAGACUUUACCUUUUUUUCAUUAUUCCAGACCUAUAUAGGAAACUACUUAUCAUCUUCCUAAUUCAUGACAUAAAAAUGUACACUUUUACAGUAUUGCACUGAUAAAUUAAACAAAUGAGCACCAAAUUGAUACCUUUCAGUAAAUUGAUAUAAAUUCGUUGCCCUACCUGCGAAAUUGAACAAAAUUUUCGUAGCAAUUUAGAAAAAAACACACAAAAAGCAGAAAAGAAAGACAAACCUCAUCAAAGAUAUUAAGCAGAAAUGAAGAGAACCACAAUCUAACAGCUGAUUGUUAAGUGCUAAAGGCAAAAUACUUUUUAAGCCCAAAAAAGAGAAAAUGGGUAUGUACAAGCAACAAAUGAAAGGAUCCUUGAAGCUCAAAUAUAGAGGGAUGUUGUUAUACUUCAAAGAAUAUUUUCUUUUAGGGUCAGAUUUGCAGACCAAUGUAACUUCUAAUUUUGUGUGCAGUAUAACAGGACCGUAACAUAUCCAAAAACCCAUGAAUUUAUAGGUAUACCAAGAUGGGUUCAGAUCAAUUGACAUCUCUUUUUGAUUUAUAAACCGAUUAUAAUCUAACAGCUCUGGAAUUCUGACUCCGGAAAAAGAAAUGAGAAAACAACCCCUUAGGUAGAAGUCACACUGCAUGUAAUAUAAAUUAUUAUUACUAAUAGAAGUCAAUUUGAUGAGAAUAUUCAACAUUCAUAUAUGAGAUAAAAACCUGGAUGCAUGUCCUGCGAAAAUGCUGUAGGAACACAUUAGCUUGUUCACUUGAGACAGUUUCACAUUCGGAUAUUGCAAGCCUACACAGCUUAGGGUAAUGAAUUACGAGAUCUCUGAUGCUCAUUAAGGCUAAAUGAUAAUCUGCAAAUAGCUCCCUUAGCUUUCCUGGCAGUCCAUUAAAUUCUGACAGAAUUCAAGUGACGCCACUUGAUGCAAAUCACCAAUGAUUUCUGGAAGCUUUUCUAGUCUUUUGCACCCUCUGGGCUCUGAGUAAAAGACGUUGCAGAUUCAUCAAAUUACAGAGGCUGUCUGGUAGACUUACAAGAUCUUCACAACCUGUCAGAUUUAGCUCAGUGAGGCCGCUCAUAUUUCUAGUGAACGAAGGCAUUUCUCUUAUCCCAGUAGAAUUCAGAGUCAGUUGUAUCAAGCAAUGCAUAUCUCCGUUGAUUUCUGGAAAUGCAUUAUAGAGAUGACUCACAAAGGUUCUACGUGUAUCUUUGUGACAUAACUUGACCCUUAGACCAAAAAAGGAAAAGAAAAAACUAGAAGUCAUUAUAUUUUUGCUGAUUUUAUUGUAAAGACUAGACUUUACCUUUUUUCAUUAUUCCAAGCCUCUGUAGAAAACUUGUUAUCAUCUUUCUAAUUCAUGACAUAUCAUUGUACCCUUUUGCAGUAUUGCAGUGACAAAUUAAACAAAUGAGUAGCAAAUUGGGGACAAAUAUAAGUUUUCCCCAUUUUAACUUAAUCAUACCUUCCUGUAAAUGAUAUAAAUUUGUUGCCCUACCUGAGGAAUUGUCCAGAAAUUGAAGAAAAAUUUCAUAAUAAUUUAGAAGAAAAAGCAGAAAAGAAUGACUGACCUGAGAGAACCACACCAAAAGCUAACUAUUGAGGUAUAUAAGAGCCUGUUUGGAUUCAGAAUAGUUUUAAAGUGUUUAUGUAAAUUUAAAAAGAAAUAGGCUUCAAUCAGCUUAUUGAGCUACAGAAGUUUUCUCAACUCACAAUGGAGCAUCCAGUUUUUAUAUUUACAUUAUAUAUACAAAUUCUAUGGAACAAUAUCACCGUAUACUUGAGAGUCAAUUAGCAGCAAACACAUCAUAAACAGAAAUACUACUUCUACUUUUUAUGGCUAAACAGAUCUUAUAUAAGCCCAAUAUCAGCUUCACAAAUGACAUACUAAAAUCUCAUACCCCUUCCAAUAGGACUCAAUUAUUUUUAAUAGCAUUAAUUUUCAAAUUAAAAAUGUCUCUCCCAAUCCAAGUUACCUUUUACAUAUAAAGGGAUCUUAGGAAGAUGGUGUGUACGUAACUUUACCCUUACCUAGUUAAGGUAGAGAAGUUGUUUCCCACUCAAACACCAACAUUAUAAAUAAAAAUUUCAUCCAUCUAUCAUCGAUACAAAUUCCUGGUAUAUAAUUAAUUUUCAUUUGAGAAGGGUACAUACAAAUUGUACCAACAAUGUAGAACAUACACUUUCCAUACCAUUUUAUGAUACAUGUUUGGUUGAAUACAAAAUUUAAGAAAGACAGAAAAAUAUUUGAAAAUUGUGAUGUAAAACAAGUCAUAAACAGACCUUUGCAUCAUUUGGGUUCUUCCCUUCUUUAUUGUCAGAAGCAUACCACAAUGUUUCAAACGGUAUAUAGGCACAACAAAUGAAAGGAUACUCGAACCUCGAAUAUUCAGGGAUGUAGUUCUACUCCAAGGAAUAUUUUCUUUCAGGGUCAGACUUGCAGACCAAUGUAGCUUCUAAUCUUGCGUCCAGUCUAGUAGGACCGUAACUUAUCAAAAAACCCAUGAAUUUAUCAGUAUACCAAAAUGGGUUCAGCUUAAGACAACAAAUUACGAGAUUUUUGCUGCUCUUCAAAGUUAGAUGAUAAUCAGCAAAUAGCUCCCUUAAAUUUGGGGGUAGCUCUCCUGGCAGUUCAUUAAGAUUCUGACAGAAUUAUACGUUCAGAUGCUGAAGGUGUAAGAGUCCUUUGAAGCUUUUUGGUAAACAAGAAAUAUUGCUUCCACUUACAUUCAAAUUUUCCAAAGAGUGCAAAGAUCCUAAAUCCUCAGGAAGUCCACUCAAUAUGUUGUGAUUAUUAAGAUCAUGUGAUGUCAAGGAGGAUAAACCUGAUACUUGAUUCAAGACAAAACUUGAGGAAUGUUGAAAUUGUUGUUCAUGUGAGAAUCGUAACUUCCACAGUUUGCCAAGCUUAGUGAUGGAGGGAGGUGGUUGGGAGAUUGCAGUUUCGCUCGCAUCAAGUAUAUGUAAAUCUUGCAAAUCACCAAUGUUUUCUGGAAGCUUCUCUAGCUUGUUGCACCCGUCGAGGUAAAGACAUCGAAGUUUCAUCAAAUUGCAGAUAUUCGAGGUCUCCUAGAUGCCCAAUGGAUGAAGGCACUUCUCUUAUCCCAGUAGAAUUCAGAGUCAGCUGUGUCAAGUAAUGCAUAUCUCCAUUGAUUUCUGGAAAUGUAUCUAAUUUUGGGGAAUUAGAUAUCUUGAGCUUUUGAAGGGAUUUCAUCUGAAUCGAGCUUGGAAGCUUCUUUAAGUUCUCACAUCCAUCUAUCUCUAACAAACGGAGCUUCUUUUGAACUCCAAGAGAUAUGGGGAGCUUUACCAAUCCAGAACAUCGGUAUAUACCAAGACAUCCCAAUUGCUGUGAUUCAAAGAGGUUGUUUGGCAGUGUUGCAAAUUUAUUGAAACCUGAAAUACUGAGAUCUCUAAGAUUUUGAAUGGCGUCCAGAAUACUCUCAAGAACUUCACACUCAGUCAAUUGCAAAUUUCUAAGGCUGCUGAAAGAUGGAGGUAAGCUUCUUAUCCACGGGUAUUUUACAUAGAGUAUUGAUAAGCGCGGCAUAUCUCCACAGAUUUCUGGAAAUUCUUCUAAGCUUGUGCAUUCAAGGAGAUUGAGAGUCUCAAGAGAUCCCACGCAGACAAAUUUUGGAAUCUUCUUAAGUUUGCGAUAACCUUCCAAACUCAAAUAAGUAAGCAGUCUGCAAUGUCCAAAUGAGGAAUGGACCUCUUCCAAAUUCACACACCGUGUAAAUUUAGUGUCUCUAAGUUUGGCAUAUCACCAAAAUUAGGGGUUUUUCUUAACUCACAGCUGUCCAUGAGAUCCAAAUGCUUCAAGUUGCUCAAUUUCUGUUUCCAAAAAAAAAAAAGAACAGUGAGCUUAACUAGUACUCCUAAUAGAAAUAUUUUGUAGGAAAAAAAAAUAAAGAGAAGAUAAGGUUGUUAUGAUCAUUAAAGGCGGUAGCCAAUCUGGAAAAGAACUUUUGAGAUACAUAAUUGUCUUAAAAUCCAAAUAUAUAUUUCUUUUCUUUUAAUUUCAUAAUGAAAAUAAAACCUCUUUAAACCUAGAAAUAAUUCCUUCUCAUCUUUGUCCAGACAAUCAAAACUAAGCCUAAGCUUUCCUAAAAUAUCCUUGUGAGGGAUUCUCUUCAGCCGAUCAAUUAUGUGUCUCCAGUGCUUUUUGUCUCGUCCGUAAAAUGAAGAACCCAAAACUUUAAGAGCUAAAGGGAGUCCACCAGCAUGGUGCACCACUUGUCUUGAAAGUUCCAUAAAAUCUUCUUUUGGUGAUUUUUCUCUAAAAGCAUGACUACUGAACAAUUCAAGUGCUUCAUCCUCCGAUAAUAGUUGGACUUCAUACACGUUAUCCCCAACGUGACUGAUUAACAGGUGCUUGUCUCUUGCCGUUAAAAUAAUUCUGCUACCCCUACCAAACCACUCUGUCCCUCCAACUAAAAAUUCCCACUGUUCUUGAUGGUUUACAUCAUCAAGGAUGAACAGAACUUUCUUCCAGCGAAGCAUAUUCUUUUAAAUAUUCAUCCCUUCAUGCUCACUAGUUAGAGUCAAUUUUUCACCCAAGAGCUUGCAAAUGACAACUUGUUGUAGCCAUGUUAGUCCAUUUUUCUGAUGAAGUUUUCCAACAUCACCAAGAAAACAAUCAGCUUCACAUCGAUGGCGGUAUCUUUGAUGUAGAAUAUUUGCAAUUUCUGUCUUGCCGAUGCCGCCCAUACCCCAAAUGCCGAUGGAGCAAACAUCAUUUGAUUCCAUAUCUAAUAAUGAGGUUACUUUCUCAACCUGAGAUUUUUUACCCACUAAACUUUCCAGGAAAGGUGAAAUAAUUUGAAGUGACUUGGGAAAUAUGACAUCAACUAACUUCUUGAUGCACUCAGCCUCAUCCCUACAUUACAGUGAAAAUACUCUCAGAGUAAAUAAAUAGAAAAGGAAAGACUUGUCAUAGAUUAAUAUCUAAAGCAAACACAUAAUAAUGUCACAAAGGUUGUUCCCCCGCUCUCCCCCCCCCCCCUGGUGUCAUAAGGUAGCUUAAAUCAACUAUUAUGAAUUAUAACAUUUUAAAAUCUAAUUACAUCAUCAAACAACCAGAUAGCUAAAAGUUUGGUCCUUUUUCCUCUUGAUAAAGAGAAACCCGAAGAAAAGAAGAAGAUCACUUACUUGAAAUUUUGUAAAUGAUACCCCGAUAUUUUCCCAGCCUCCGCAAAUGCACCCGUCCAUCUCUGAACCUUCUCCAUAUCAUCUUUGCAUUUUUCCUCAUGUUGUAAAAAUGAAUCAGCAAAAGGGGGAUGUUGAUGGCACACAUCUGAUUGACUCACAUCAUAGAAGACUGGAAUCACAAUCUGCUCCAAUUCCUUUUUACACUUUAUGAUGUGUGCAAGCUCCUCUAAACACCAUCUUGACGAUGCAUAGCUUUUUGAAAAUAUCACUAUAGCAAAUUUAGACUCUUGUAUGGCUUUCAAAAGUUCAUCAGAAAUUGAUUUUCCCGUUUCUAGUCGCUCAUCAUCUUUAAAAGUGCGGAUCCCUCUUUGUUCCAAAGCAUUAUAGAGAUGACUCACAAAGUUUCUACAUGUAUCUUCACCUCUAAAACUCAAAAAGACAUCGUACUUGCAAAUUUUGGAAGAAGAAGCAUGAGACAUUGUUGAAGGAUAUAAGACUAACAGGUAACUUCUCAGCCCAACUAGCAACAUUAUUUCUCAGCUAUGUGAAUGCAUAAUUUGGUCAAAAAGAGUGAAACAGUUGAGUUGACCAACCUGGUCAAAAAGAAAGAAAAGACAGACAAAUUUCCAGUUUAAUAAUAAAGAACAAGACUUCACCAUUUUCACUAUUCCUAGUCUUUAUGAGGAACUUGUUAUCAUCUUCCUAUUUCAACUUAUAAAAUGUUAACUUUUUCAUUACUGUGAGAAAUUAAAGAGUAUAAAAACAGACAAGAAGACUUACACCAAAAAAGGCAAAGAAAAAACUAAAGUCAUUACAUUUUUACUGAUAUUAUUGUAAAGACUUUACCUUUUUCAUUAUUCCAAACCUCUGUAGGAAACUUGUUAUCAUCUUCCUAAUUCAUGACAUAUAAUUGUACUCUUUUUCAGUAUUGCACUGACAAAUUAAACUAAUGAGCACCAAAUUGGGGCACAAAUUUAAAUCUUAACUUAAUCAUACCUUUCGGAAAAUUGAUAUAAAUUCGUCGCCCUAACUGAGAAAUUGCCCAGAAAUUGAAGAAAAAAAUCGUAAUAAUUUAGAAAAAAACACACAAAAAGCAGAAAAGAAAACUGACCACAUCAAAGAUAUAAGCAGAAAAGAAGAGAACCGCACUCUUAACUAUUGAGGUUUAUAAGAGCUUAUUUGGUCAGAUAUAUCAUUUUUAGGUUUAUCUUUAUCAAGAGGAAAAUGGAAUAAAGAUUCUUGACAAGCUGACGGAGUAUGUCGGAUUUUAGCGUUUUCUUUAAUAGUGUUUAUUAGCAAUAAACAAGCUUUUUUUUUUACUCGUAUUGAAGAUGCGUUUUUUUCUAAAAUGAUCCGUAUUGAGUUAAAUUAAAAAUUAGAAAGCAAGUAUUUGUGUUAAAUCAAGAUAGCCGGGAUGAUAUGAAAAAAACAAAAAUACAUGAUAUUAUUUAAUUUAAUUGAAUGUUUAAACAAGAAAAUUGAAGCACUUCCGUCAGUUAUUAUUCAUGCAAAAAUACAUUAAAAAAAAUCUCAAAAAAAAAUCAAUGUUCAUACAUUAAUUUUUAUUUUUUUUAAAAGGAAAACUAACGAACACAAGUUAUAUGGACAAACACCAACUAAAAAUCGCAUACCCUUUCCCAUAGGCAGUGGCGGAGGCAGGAUUUCCAUCGAGGGGGUUCAAAAAGAUAAGUAAGCACACUAUUAGUAUCCAUAUAAGCGGGGCGGGUCAAAUAUAAAUGGGUCGGAUCAGAUAUAAGCAACUAAAAAAAAUUCAACUCUACCUCAACACAAACAAUAAAAUCGAGUAAUCAUAUGUUUGACGAGAUUUGUAUUUUUUAAAACUAUAAUUAUGGGUCUUGUCUCUGUCAUUGUUGUAUACAAACGUUAUUUAAUUUUUGAAACUAACUAAGGAAUACUUCUAAAUCCGAUCAUACUGUAGCAAUAAAAUUUGCGUCGAUAAAAUAAUUAUCAAGGUUGAAAAAUAUCGCGACAAUUGUAUUUAUUUAUAAAUUUUAAAUGAUUACUCUUAUUUAUUUAAUCUUACUUAUAAUUAUAUUAAUUCUUAAUCAAAUAUAAAUUAAAUGUUUUCUUAAAAUGAGUAUGAAAGAAUGUAUUUUUAAUUUUAAUUAUGACAACAACGUUUAUAAGUUUUACUUAAUUUUAUAAAAAUGGAAAAUUAAAUUUAUUUUUUUAAUAUCUAAUAAAUAGUAUAAAUCUCAAUAGGUUUUCAAACAAAACAAAAAUUUUCAUUUAUUUAGAAAAUUAAAUGAAAAUCGGCUGAAAUAUGGGGGAAAAAAAUGCUGUUACAGGGAGUCGAACCUGCGACCCAGCACUUAUAUUGCGAAUUCUUGAACCCCCUUUACCACUAAACCAAGCCCUUAGCUUAUGUUCAGGGGUUCAUCACUUGGUAUAUACAUAUAAAUAAAAAAAUUGACCCUAUAUAUACCAUGUAAUUUUUCCAACGAAGGGGGUUCGGAUGAACCCCUUGGAUCCAUGUAGAUCCGCCCCUGCCCAUAGGACUCAAUUAUUUUUAAGAAGUAUUAAUUUUCAAAUUAAAAAUGUCUCUCCAAAUACAAAUAGCCUUUUACAUAUAAACAGACCUUUGCCUCACUCAUUGCUUCUUUUCUUUUUUCUAUGACCACUAUCAUCACUCAUUGCUUCCUCUUCAUACACCAGCCGAAUUCCCCAGCAUACUUCUUUCUCCAGCCCGUACAUGUGAGAAAACUCCAACAUGUAAUAAUCAUUUGGAUUCUUCCCUUCUUUAUUGCCAGAAGCAUUCCACAAUGUUUCAAAUGGUAUGUACCAGCAAUAAAUGAAAGGAUCAUUGGAAAAAGACCCACUCACCCCAUACUUCAAGGAAUAUUUUCUUUCAGGGUCAGAUUUGCAGACCAAUGUAGCUUCUAAUCUUAUGUACUUUGUAGUAGGACCGUAGGUUAUCCAAAAACCCAUGAAUUUAUUGGUAUACCAAGAUGGGUUCAGAUCAAUUGACAUCUUUUCUUGAUUUAUAAAUGGACAAUCAUAAUCGAACAACUCUGAAAUUCUGACUCUGGGAAAAGUAAUGAGAAAAUAAUCCCUUUGAUGGAAGUCACACUGCAUGCAAUAGAAUAGAGAUUAUUAUUACUACUACUAGAAAUCAAUUUGACGAGAAUAAUAUUCAACAUUCAUAUAUGAGAUAAAAACCUGGAUGCAUGUCCUGAGAAAAUGAUGUAGGAACACAUUAACUUGUUCACUUGAGACGGCUCCACAGUUGGAUAUUACGAGCCUACACAGCCUAAGACAAUUAAUUACGAGAUCUCUGAUGCUCUUCAAGGCUAAAUGAUAAUCUGCUAAUAGCUCCCUUAAAUUUGGGGGUAGCUCUCCUGGCAGUUCAUUAAGAUUCUGACAGAAGUGUAUGUUCAGACUCCGAAGGUGUAAGAGUCCUUUAAGGCUUUUUGGUAAACAAGAAAUAUUGCUUCCACUUAAACUCAAAUAUUUCAAAGUGUGCAAAGAUCCUAAAUCCUCAAAAAGUCCACUCAAGCCUAAAAUUAUCAGUUUCCCAAGCUUGGUGAUGGAGGGAGGUGGUUGGUAUAUUGCAGUUUCGCUCACAUCAAGCUUACAUAACUCUUGCAAAUCACCCAUGUUUUCUGGAAGCUUUUCUAGCUUUUUGCACCCGUUGAGUAAAAGAUAUUGAAGAUUCAUCAAAUUACAGAGGCUGUCUGGUAGACUUACAAGAUCUUCACAACGUUUCAGACAUAGCUCAGUGAGGCCGCUCAGAUUCCCAAUGGAUGAAGGCACUUCUCUUAUCCCAGUAGACUUCAGACUCAGUCGUGUCAAGCAAUGCAUAUCUCCGUUGAUUUCUGGAAAUGUAUCUAAUUUUGGGUAUUUAGAUAUCGAGAGAUCUAGAAGGGAUUCCAUCUGAAUAGAGCUUGGAAGCUUCUUUAAGUUCUCACAUCUCUCUAUUAUUAACAAACGGAGAUUCUUUUGAACUUCAAGAGAUAUGGGGAGCUUUACCAAUCCAGAACAUCCGUAUAUACAAAGAACUUUCAAUAGCUGUGAUUCGAAGAGGCUGUUUGGCAGUGUUGCAAGUUUAUUGCAACCUGAAAUUCUGAGAUCACUAAGAUUUCGAAUAGUGUCUGGAAUACAUUCAAGAAUUUCACAAUCACCCAAAUGCAACUCUCUAAGGCUGCUGAGAGACGGGGGUAAGCUUCUUAUCCAGGGGGAUCCUAGAGAGAGUUUUGAUAAGCGCCGCAUAUUUCCACAGAUUUCUGGAAAUUCUUCUAACCUUGUGCAUUCCCUGAGAUUGAGAUCCUCAAGAGAAUCCAUGCAGACAAAUUUUGGAAGCUUCUUAAGUUUGCGACAACCAUACAAACUCAAAUAAGUAAGCAUUUUGCAAUGUCCAAUAGAGGGAUGGACCUCUUCCAAAUUCACACACCCCUCUAAAUGUAGCUUCUCCAAGUUUGGUAUACCACCAAAAUUAGGGGUUUUUGUGAACUCACAGCUAUCCCUGAGAUCCAAAUGCUUCAAAUUGCUCAAUUUCUGUAUUCAUUUAAAAAAAAAACGAAAAACUAGUUAACUAAAGUAGUACUCCUAAUAGAAAUAUUUUAUGGGAAAAAAAAUAAAGAGAAGAGAAGGUUGUUAUGAUCAUUGAAGGCAGUAGAAAACGUGGAAAAGAGGGAGUCCCAUGUAAUUCUAUCAACCAAAGCUAGAACAGAUUAAAACAGAUGGAAAGAAAUCACCUAGGAGUCGUUUGGUAGAGUGUAUAAAAACAAUGCUCAAUAGAGUCUAUUAGUAAUACUUGCAUUAGUUAUGUAUAGAUUAUUUCUCAUGCAUUGUUUAGUUUGGUGUAUUAAAAAUUGUAUGCAUUGUAUAAAAAUAUUUAUGUACAAAAAUAUCCUCCACAAUUAUGGUGGAAAAGAUGUAAAAAUGCUUUUGAGGGGUAAUUGGGUCUAUGCUAAUACAUGUAUUAAAUUCAUUUGCAUUACUAAUACCUAGAAAUCCAUGGUAUUAGUAAUACACUCCACUAAUAUAGGGAUUUGAACCUGAGAUCUCAUAGUGCUCAAUCCACUUCUUUGACACCUAGUACACAUCCUUGGGUGCGCUUGCAAGUUCUUUAUUAGGUAGAUAUAAUUGCAGGAAGUAAAUUACUAUACAAUUAUAAAUCCAAAGAUUCAAAAAUAUUUACAUCAUGACUGUGAUGAAGUACUUCAUUUAUAUCGUGAAUGUCAACAAAGUUAGGUUCCGCCUAAAUAUGUUGAAGAUUUAAUUGGGAAAAGAAAGGUGAUGAAAAGAGAGAGGGAGAGAUUAUAUAUUUGAUUUUUGUGAUGAAGUUUGUACUUGUAAGAACAAUAUUUGAACUUUCAAGUGAGUGAUUACCAAAAAAAAAGAUUAAAAAAUUGGUGUUAAUUGUGUAUAACAGUACAUUUAUUUAAAGUAGCAUUUAAAUCGUGGACGGAUUAAUUUACGUGCAUUGACCUAUCAAAACAUUUAUUUCAAGCUCAUGAUUACGUUGAUUAAAAUUAGAAAAAGUAAAUUACAUGAAAGCGAGUUUAUAUACAUGAUGUUCUAUAAUUACAACUAUUUGUUCAGAUUUAUUAUUACAUUAUUCUGUACAAGAACUUUGCAACAAAUCUAGUUGAUGUAUAAUAUUUGAAAAUUUAAAACCAAAAUAGUAGAGUUAAUUGAUUUUAAUCCCUCGAAGGAGAAAACUUUGGUUCAAGCCGAUCCUAAUAGUAAUAUACAAUCAGUUAGCACACCAAUUGGAGUAUGUAGCAUGCGGACCGAAAAAGAUGGUAAUGUUAUGAGUCCUACAAUAGCUAAGGCUAUUCAAGAAAGUCAGGCUGCCAUGUUACUCAAACCCAAUUUAGCGAUCAAGCCACCCAUGGUCACAUUGAGCAUCUCAGCUCAUGAGGUCACUUCCCAAAAUUUGGAUUCACCUGAUGAACAUCAAGGUGAAUUUGGACAGCUCUUAUCAUCCACGGGAAAUGAUAAAGUUUUGGUGAAAGGUAUGUCACCACUCUGUCAAGCUAAUUUUACAAAUGAUUUGUUAAUUUCGAAAGAAAAACAACAAGGGGAGAUGAGUACUCCUAGGUGGGCUGAUUUUGGUUGAUGAAGAGAGCAUGUUUCACUCCUCUUUUGAAUAGAAAAUUAAGUCCACAAGCUCAAGAAUUUGUACCUAAAAGUACAAUUGCAAAGAAGAAUGAACAAGAGGCCUUAGCAUCAUGAUUUAGUCCAAUUAAUGCUUAUGCUAGUGAUUUGGGUGAUGAUUCUUUUGAUGAGGAUGAGGAAGAUAAUAUGUUGGACAUAUGCUUUGAUAAAGUGGCUAGAGAUGGGGAUAUCUCACCUAGGCAUCAAAGAAGUGGAAGCAACAAAAACAAAAAGAAGACACAUGGAAGACAACACAGAUGGGAUGGUAAUUUGACAGCGGAGUUUGUUCCAAGGCCCCUGCCGAUGCGACUGGCAAAGCAAAAUCAUAUGAUAGUGUCAAUAGCUUCAACAAGAUCCCAUACAUUCAAAAAGAAAUGAUGAAGUAUCAAAUUUUGUUGGACAUAUUUGAAGAAGACAAGAGGAAAAUACUUUAGGUUACUUUAGAUGGGCUAUCUAUCAUUGUUAAUUCACACAUUUGUAAAAAUAAGUUUGAGGUUGAUAACUCAACUUUCUUCUUGAAUUUUAUAUUUGUGCAUUAUUUAAGCAUUCUCAUUUGUAAUAUCAUCAUAGAGUGUAUUACGAAUUCUGUUAUGAUUAUAGAAUAUCUAGUUCUCUCUAGCUUUUAUUUUCUUCAUGCUUGUUAAUUAGUAGAGGUUCGUUACCUCAUAGGAUUUGACAAGGUAAGGCCUAGCCCCCCUUGCUUGUACUUAUUUUUUGUUGAGGAUUUUUGUUUUUAAUAAAAAAACUGCUAGACGCUCUGUCUAGUGGUAUUAAAAAUAAAUCAAUUUUGAACUAUAAAAAAUAAAGGGAAAAUGCAUAAGUACCCGCCAGCCUAUACCCGAAAUCCCAAAGACACACCUAACCUUUACUAAGGUCCUAUUACCCCCCCCCCCCCNNNNNNNNNNNNNNNNNNNNNNNNNNNNNNNNNNNNNNNNNNNNNNNNNNNNNNNNNNNNNNNNNNNNNNNNNNNNNNNNNNNNNNNNNNNNNNNNNNNNNNNNNNNNNNNNNNNNNNNNNNNNNNNNNNNNNNNNNNNNNNNNNNNNNNNNNNNNNNNNNNNNNNNNNNNNNNNNNNNNNNNNNNNNNNNNNNNNNNNNNNNNNNNNNNNNNNNNNNNNNNNNNNNNNNNNNNNNNNNNNNNUUCGGGCAUAGGCUGGGGGGGUACUUAUGCAUUUUCCCAAAAAUAAAUAAAAAAUACUUCAUUUAAGUUAUCUAUAGCCCAUUCCUAUAGAAAACAAAUACAGUUAUCCUACGUGGCACUAUCCUUGAAAAAAUUGUCAACACGCGCUGGGCCCACAAGAUAGUGCCACGUAGGCCGAAAAGGGGUAGAAAAUUAUAUAUAAAAUAAGUUCAGGGGGGUAAUAGGACCUUAGUAAAGGUUAGGUGUGUCUCAGAGAUUUGGGGCAUAGGCUGGGGGGGUACUGAUGCAUUUUCCCUAUAUUUAAAGCAAUUUCACCUUUGAAGGUUCAUAUAACAAAAAUAUAAAUAUUUAGUUAAGAUGAAUUACAGAAACAAGUAUAUAGCCAGCUGUCUAAUAAUUGUAAGAGAGUGUUACCUUUGAUAUUGGCCAAAGUUCAACAAGCCUACUUUCAGGUAAACAAAGCACAACGAGCUGUGAUGGUUCAAAGCUCUCUGGCAAUGAAAUUGAAGGAUACCCUAUCCAAUCAAUAAACCGCAGGCUGGAAGGAAGAUAAGUGACAGCGCAGUUUGAGUUAAAAGAUCCACCACCAACUAUGGGUAUUUUUAAGCUUUGCAUCCUCUUGAAAAUAUUGCUAUAAUCGACAAGAUCAUCUUCAAAAUAGUAAUCUUUAGGGAUACAUAGGCUUUCCACCUUUUCUGUUAUCUGUAUAGAAUGAAGCACAUAUUUAAUAGCUAACAAAUAAAAAUGAAACAAAAAGAUUAAUAGAACUACGAGCUUCCAAAAUUAUUAAUUACGUUAAAUAUUGCUUACCAACUUCCCUUUAAAAAGGUCACAAACUUCCUCGGGAAGCCAUAUUCUACUGUUAGCGUACUCUUCCCGUAUGACAUUUUCUCCCAUUUUUCUUAUCAUAUUAUGCAUCACAAUACUAUUAUUCAGGUCGAUUGAUAAUAGAGAUUUUUCGAUAAGGUAAUCUAUUAGAAAACCACGACUCAUAUAUCUCCGUACUAGUUCCACACAAAGAUGAAAAUCAUAUCUAGUCAAACAUGCAAUAUCUAGAAAUGCAAUAUCUAGAAAUAAUUCCUUCUCAUCUUUGUCCAGACCAUCAAAACUAAGCCUAAGCUUUCCUAGAAUAUCCUUGUCAGGAUUCUCUUCAGCCGAUCAAUUAUGUGUCUCCAGUGCUUUUUAUCUCGUCCAUAAAAUAAAUAACCCAAAACUUUAAGAGCUAAAGGGAGUCCACCAGCAUGCUUCACCACUUGUCAUGAAAGUUCUAUAAAAUCUUCUUUUGGUGUCACUUGCCUUGAAAGUUCCAAAAAUCCUUCUUUUGGUGAUUUUUCUCUAAAAGCAAGCCUACUGAACAAUUCAAGUGCUUCAUUCUCAGAUAAUAGUUGGACUUCAUACACAUUAUCCCCGACGUGACUGAUUAACAGGUGCUUGUCUCUUGCUGUUAAAAUAAUUCUGCUACCCCUACCAAACCACUCUGGCUCUCCAACCAAAAAUUCCAACUGUUCUUGAUGGUUUACGUCAUCGAUGGUGAACAGAACUUUCUUCCAGCGAAGCAUAUUCUUUAAAAUAUUCAUCCCUUCAUGCUCGCUAGUUAGAGUCAAUUUUUCACCCCAGAGCUUGCAAAUGACGACUUGUUGUAGCCAUGUUAGUCCAUUUUUUCUGGUGAAGUUUUCCAACAUCACCAAGAAAACAAUCAGCUUCAAAUCGAUGGCUGUAUCUUUGAUGUAGAACAUUUGCAAUUUCUGUUUUGCCGAUGCCGCCCAUACCCCAAAUACCAAUAGAGCGAACAUCAUUUGAUUCCAUAUCUAAUAAUGAGGUUACUUUCUCAACCUGAGAUUUCAAACCCACUAAGCUUUCCGGGAAAGGUGAAAUAAUUUGAAGUGACUUAGGAAAUAUGUCAUCAACUAGUUUCUUGAUG
RNAcentral lists this long non-coding RNA (16197 nucleotides) under Solanum tuberosum (potato). Its description in RNAcentral is "long non-coding RNA (STUB_LNC011915)". The record is from RNAcentral. Lineage: Eukaryota; Viridiplantae; Streptophyta; Magnoliopsida; Solanales; Solanaceae.